GACGAACGCUGACGGCGUGCUUAACACAUGCAAGUCGAACGAAGAGCGAUGGAAGCUUGCUUCUAUCAAUCUUAGUGGCGAACGGGUGAGUAACGCGUAAUCAACCUGCCCUUCAGAGGGGGACAACAGUUGGAAACGACUGCUAAUACCGCAUACGAUCUAAUCUCGGCAUCGAGGAUAGAUGAAAGGUGGCCUCUACAUGUAAGCUAUCACUGAAGGAGGGGAUUGCGUCUGAUUAGCUAGUUGGAGGGGUAACGGCCCACCAAGGCGAUGAUCAGUAGCCGGUCUGAGAGGAUGAACGGCCACAUUGGGACUGAGACACGGCCCAGACUCCUACGGGAGGCAGCAGUGGGGAAUCUUCCGCAAUGGACGAAAGUCUGACGGAGCAACGCCGCGUGAGUGAUGACGGCCGUCGGGUUGUAAAGCUCUGUUAAUCGGGACGAAAGGCCUUCUUGCGAAUAGUGAGAAGGAUUGACGGUACCGGAAUAGAAAGCCACGGCUAACUACGUG
Molecule: ribosomal RNA, 510 nt
Filed under: uncultured bacterium
Lineage: Bacteria
Description: partial 16S ribosomal RNA
Rfam family: Bacterial small subunit ribosomal RNA
Source: RNAcentral